AGGGGCAGCACAAGGAGCAAUCUGAGGUGGCGACCGGCGCACGGGUGAGUAACACGUAUGCAACCUGCCUGUAAGCGGGGAAUAACCCGUUGAAAGACGGACUAAUACCGCAUAAUACUAAAUUACUGCAUGGUAAUUUAUUUAAACAUUUAUGGCUUACAGAUGGGCAUGCGCAUGAAUAGCUAGUUGGAGAGGUAACGGCUCCCCAAGGCAACGAUCAUUAGGGGUUCUGAGAGGAAGGUCCCCCACACUGGUACUGAGACACGGACCAGACUCCUACGGGAGGCAGCAGUGAGGAAUAUUGGUCAAUGGACGAGAGUCUGAACCAGCCAAGUCGCGUGCAGGAAGAAUGUCCUAAUGGAUUGUAAACUGCUUUUGCAAGGGAAUAAAGUGCAUCACGUGUGAUGUUUUGUAUGUACUCUGCGAAUAAGGAUCGGCUAACUCCGUGCCAGCCGCAGC
Molecule: ribosomal RNA, 459 nt
Filed under: uncultured bacterium
Lineage: Bacteria
Description: bacterial SSU rRNA
Rfam family: Bacterial small subunit ribosomal RNA
Source: RNAcentral